Molecule: long non-coding RNA, 4963 nt
Filed under: Homo sapiens (human)
Lineage: Eukaryota; Metazoa; Chordata; Mammalia; Primates; Hominidae
Description: HSALNT0190628
Source: RNAcentral
UAAAAGCAGAACUAUAAUAUGAAACUUCCUGUAAGUCUGCAUUUAAGGGAGGAGGCAUGCCAGUAUUUCCUCCUUCCUCGCUCUCUGCUGUUUAGAAUGCAGAUGUAAUGGCUGGAGUUCUGGCAAUUAUAUCAGACCAAGAGAUGGGAGUAAGAUGCUGAGAUGGGAGUCUCAGCAAAGCCAGAAGCCUUGGUCCCCAAAGUCUCUGUGGAGUCACCAUUCCAACUCCGGACUGCCUACUUCUAGGCUUAUUUUGCAUACAUGAGAAACAUAUUCUUCUAUCUUGUCUAAACCACACUUGUUGUUGUUUUCUGUGUUGUGUACAACUGAACUUAAUCCUAAAGCAUGCAUUCAACAAUUAUUUUUAUUAAUUUAUAUAAUUAUAUGAUUAUAUUCACUUUCUGCUUCAUAAUAACUUUUAUCUAGAUUUUAAAAUCGAUUUAGUUUUAAUUAAUAAGUUUCAUUUUUUACAAGUUUUAGGCUCACAAUAAAAUUGAGCAGAAAGUACAGUUUCCACAUAACCAUCCCCCAACACACACCCAGCCCCUUCCACCACCAACAUGUCACAGUAUGUUUUGUUACAACUGAUGAAGUAAUAUUGAUGCCUCAUGUUCAACCAAAGUCCACAGUUUACAUUACAGUUCGCUCUUUGUGACCAAAGCCCACAGUUUACAUAUGGUUCACUGUUUGUGUUGUACAGUCUGUGGGCUUUGACAGAUCUAUCAUGCCAUGUAGCUACCCUUUCAGUGUCAUUCAAUAUAGUUCCAUUGGCUUAAAAAUCCCGUGUUCCAUCUAUUAAUUCCUCCUUCCAUCUUCCCAAAACCCUGGCAAACACUGAUCCUUUACUGUCUGCAUAAUUUUACCUCCCCAGAAUGUCUUAUAGUUGGAAUCAUACAGUCUGUAGCCUUUUCAGAUUGGCUUCUUGCACUUAGUAAUAUGCCUUUAUGCUUCCUCCGUUUCUUUUUUGUGGCUUAAUAGCUCUUUUUCUUUUUUAAGUGCUCAAUACUAUUCCACUGUAUGAAUAUACUACAGUUUAUUUAUCCAUUCACCUAUUGACGGACACCUUGGUGGCUUCUAAGUUUUGGCAAUUAUGAAUAAAGCUGCUAUAAACUUUUGUGCAGAGGUUUCUGGGUGGACCUAAGUUUUCAACUCAUUUGGGAGAAUAUCAAGGAGCAUGAUUGCAGAAUGAUAUGAUAAAAGUGUGUUUAGAUUUGUAAAAAACUGCCAAACUGUUUUCCACAGUGGUCGAACCAUUUUACAUUUUCACCAGCAAUGAAGGAGGGUUCCUGUUGCUCUACCAUUUGGUACUGUCAGCGUUUUGGAUAUUAGCCGUCCUAAUAGCCUUUGCAUGGAUGAUUGUCUGUCCUCUGUUGGGCCCCUUCUGAAGAGUUGGAGUUGGGUUGCUGCUGCUGUGCAGCUGAGGUACAAUCCCUCUCGUUCUUUGGGCAUCAGCCUCUGUUCUCCCUACAUGUGCUGUUUGCAAACUAUAGAAACCAUUUGGGCUGGUUUGAGCAUAAAAGGAAAUUACUGGGAGUUAUUAGGUGCUCGGUGAUUCAUUGGGAGGUCUGGCAAAAAAGAAGCUCAAGGCUAAGCUCAUAGGAACACAGCCCGGCAUCUCACACAGAAGUGGCUUGAUGAGGAUUCUACUGCCUCCACAGCUCCUGCCAUCAUCUUCAUCUGCACCAUAGAUGCUCAGAACCCAGUCUGUGUCUGCAUGUUGCUGACUUCCAAAUGAGAGCUUCAUGAGAGUGUAUUUGGUUGGUAGAACAUAGGUCCCAGACCUUCUCCCUGGGAGCUGGAAGAGAUGCUGGGAAAUUCUGCCCUGGAAAAAUAAAACUCACAAUGUGGGAAACAAAGAAAAUGUACAGCAGGGGUUUAACAGAAUGACAGGUAUCUGCUAAAGAAAAUAUUGAUUUUUUUUAAAAAAAAAAAAGACAAUUUUCCCUUUAGAGCCCCAGAAAGAUUCAGGCCUUAGAGGCACUAAGUACUAUAGAAAAUGAGGCUGAAGCAUGGGGCUGAAACUUGGUUUGGUUGAAGGUCUCUGGAAGGCAGAGCAGUUUAACCUCUAGGUUCCCUCAUCCACCCCCAUACAGCCAGACAAUUAUCCCUCCACCCUUCUGUUCUCCUCCCCUCUUCCCUUAGAAAACUUGAAGUUUAUUCUCUAGAGAAGUUCCAGGCUCAGUGACACCAGGCCAAGGUGCUGGACUGAAAACAAUUAGAUUAAGUUAAAAUCUGCUUGAUAAGUGUACAAGUAAUCUAUUUUCAAAACCUAAGAGAUGUUGUCAGCUAUCUCUAACUAUAUGCCAGCAGUAGGCCUUCUAGGAAACUGUACUAUGAUUCCAGGAAACUCGAUUGUGGGCUGGGGAAGGACAAUAAAGUGGAUUGUAUGAUCAUCUGCUUCUGUUACUGGAAAGGGAUCCUGAUCCAGACCCCAAGAGAGGGUUCUUGGAUCUUGUGCAAGAAAGAAUUCAGGAGUCCAUAAAGUGAAAGCAAGUUUAUCAGAGAAGUAAAGAAACAAAAGGAUGGCUACCCCAUAGACAGAGAGCCCUGAGGGCUGCUGGUUGGACAUUUUUAUGGUUAUUUCUUGAUCAUAUGCUAAACAAGGGGUAGAUUAUUCAUAAGUUUUCUGGGAAAGGGGAGGUUCCCAAAACUGAGGGUUCCUCCCCUUUUUAGACCAUAUAAGGUAACUUGGGUGUUGCCAUGGCAUUUGUAAACUGUCAUGGCACUGCUGAGAGUGUCUAUUAGCCUGCUAAUGCAUUAUAAUUAACGUACAAUGAGCAGUGAGGAUGACCAGAGGUCACUUUCAUCACCAUCUUGGUUUUGGCCGGCUUCUUUAUGGCAUCCUGUUUUAUCACCAGGGUCUUUAUGACCCGUAUCUUGUGAUAUCAAUCCUGCCGACCUCCUAUCUCAUCCUGUGGCUAAGAAUGUCUAACCUCCUGGGAAUGCUGCCCAGCAGGUCUCAUUCUCAUUUUACCGAGCCCCUACUCAAGAUGGAGUCGCUCUGGUUUGAACGCCUCUGACACUUCCACUCUCAAGGAAUGGUGUUUUUAUUCUCUUCUCCCCAGAAUGUACUUCUGGUCUGUCCCGCUGUUCCAUUCCACAGCAUUUUAGGAGGUUCUCAAGAGUGUCCUAAACAAGCAGAGAAGAAUGGUGAGACUUACCCAUUCCUAGUUUAAGAAAUGAGUGAAAUGGGGUCUGAGUUAUAUCACAGGUGAGCUAGACAUCCUCGAAAUAAAGAGCCAGAGUAUCAGGCAAACCUUCUAAUAGCUAAAAUGAGCGUACUUCUAUUCCUAGCUACAGUUUAGACUCCUGUGGUACAGUUGGCUUUCCCAGGCUCCCGGCGUCCAUGCUGUCUCGGCGCUAUCUCGCAGCCUGACGCCACGCGCCAUCUGCUGGCCUUGAGCUGCAUAGCUCUAGAGUAACUUCAGAGGCCACGGGGGAACAAAGAGCACUCGCCUACUUGACUGAGCUCCGACAGGCCGUCCCUCUGCUUCAGGUGUAGGCGUGAACAAGUCCAGACCACUACCUUAACAGGUAUGAGGAAAAUGAAGACUCUCCUAUUUUGGCACGUAUCUCAAAAUUGUCAUCAUUCACUUAAAGUGCAUAACCACAGAGACCUUCCUACUUAUUUUCUCUGGUGUUUUGAAGUUUUGUCAUGGGAAGAAAAUAGCGCUUCUAGAAACAUGAACUAGACUAAUUACUAAUGGAUUCUUUCUCUUACAUUUUGUACAGUGGAAUAAGGGCUAUUAAUUCAUUAAGCAGUUGGCUUGGAACCUUCUCUGACGACUCUUUGCAAAGAGAGAGAGGUCUAGAAGACUUGUGGGAAGGGAGGAAGUGGUGGUACCUGAUAUUUUCCAAUUUUCCGCAGGUCACUGAUGGGAACUUUGACCAGCAUCCUUGUUCCUCCCUCAACUUAUGGUCACCCUAAAAAAGCUAAGGCAUAGAUUUCAAAUUCUGGAGCCAGUUUUUGUAUUUAGGUCUCCAAGUACAGAGAGAAACUGGCAGACAGGGGUGGAGAAGUAUUGAGAACGAAUUCGGACACCCUGAAAGCGGAGUUCUAGAUCCAGUGUUGCCAGCAACGAGCCAAGAGACCUUUCUUCACAAGUUGAUUUACCUUUCCAUGUUUCAGUUUUCUCAUAAUUCCUGCCCUUAUUCCCUUCUCACCACCCCUGAUCCCCUCCCCUUUCCUGAUUGGGUAACAGGACAGGAAGCAGCAGAGCAUUCUAUGAAGCUUCCUCCUCAACGUCCUAGAGUAGCGGGUCUCAGUCUUCACUACACAGUCAAGUCCCAUGGUGCAUUUUUCAAACUUGCAUACCUGGCCCUUCCUGUGCUGAAUUCUGGUCUGCCCAUAAUUUGCUCCCUCCUUUCUCACUGUUUUCCUUUCUCCCUUCCUUGUUUUCUUUCCUAUCCCUUGCUGUCUCUGUUAGAACUUCUUUUUCCUGGUAUCUAGCCAAUCUCUUAACCCUGUUUUACUUUACUGUCCUAAGAUGCUGUCUUCUCAUGCCUACAUGUACUUUCUUUAAAAAAAAAACUGUUUAAAAAACAUUGUGUGGGAGGAGCCAAGAUGGCCAAAUAGGAACAGCUCCAGCCUACAGCUCCCAGCGUGAGCGAUGCAGAAGAUGGGUGAUUUCUGCAUUUCCAUCUGAGGUACCAGGUUCAUCUCACUAGGGAGUGCCAGACAGUGGGCACAGGUCAGUGGGUGCACGCACCAUGCGCGAGCCGAAGCAGGGCGAGGCUUUGCCUCUCUCAGGAAGCCCAAGGGGUCAGGGAGUUCCCUUUCCUAGUCAAAGAAAGUGGUGACAGACGGCACCUGGAAAAUCGGGUCACUCCCGAAUACUGCGCUUUUCCAACGGGCUUAAAAACUGGCGCACCGGGCCGGGCGCGGUGGCUCACGCCUGUAAUCCCAGCACUUUGGGAGGCCGAGGCGGGCGGAUCACGAGGUCAGGAGAUCGAGACCAUCCCG